RNA transcript from Cryptomeria japonica (Japanese cedar), 11379 nucleotides. It is a transcript of the gene named truncated transcription factor CAULIFLOWER D, with no coding region annotated. NCBI's taxonomy places the organism in Eukaryota, Viridiplantae, Streptophyta, Pinopsida, Cupressales, Cupressaceae. The record is from RefSeq and is a predicted model, not a curated record. The transcript has 3 exons.
UCUUAUUUUACAAGUCGGCCCCCCUUUUUUGAGAUUUUAUUUAUUUUUUAACCUCCUUUUUGCCAAGUCGGCCUAGGGGAAGUAAGGGGUGAGCACUCUAUAUAUUGGAGGAGUGUUGCUUCACAUUUCAAAUCACUCAAUCAUUCCUUUAAGUGCAAAAUUGGGGAGCUAAUUGGAGGUGCGAAAUAUAGCUGGCUUGGAGCGAAUUUCUUCCAAGUGUUGAAGGCCAAAAGAGGGUGGAGUUUAUUCUUUUGAAGCUAGAGGAGGCGCAAUUCAUCCAAGAGAGGGCUUUGAUCUAAACUUUGCCUAGCGAAAUCCAUUUUUGCAUCAUUUCUUAGAGUUUAGUACUCAAGAGGAGGUAUGGCGAAAUUAUCUUAACACUCUUGUUCAAGACUUGAUUUUUGGACGCUUUUUUUAGAAAAGUCUAAGUGUUGAUUAGUUAAUUAGGAAAUGAUAACUCUAGAUUUAUCAUGAAGUUUCCUAAUUAAUAUCUUAAAACUUCCUUUUGAGUCGUAAUUUCUACACUUCAUGAUAUAAUGCUUAAGAACUAAUUUCGAAAUGUUGUGUAGGUAUCAAGAUGGCAACUCCAAAGGCAGGAGCAUCUACUAGUCGCCUAGCUCUCAUCAAGGAAGAUCAGAAGAAUGACAAAUUGGAGACCAGGAUCGUGUCCAAAUGGAGUAAUAUCGGAGACACCAACUUGGGAAACUACAAUGUGAAGAAGUUUUGAGAGGUCCCCUACAUUGGCAAGCCAUCACCUAUUGUGAAGAAGAUAAUUGAAAGCGGCAUCAUCAAGGCGGCAGGUUUCCCUCCAGUAGUCAAGUGUCAUGAGCUGAUGAUCGAGUGUGCCCGCCACUAUGACUCACAAUCAAGGUCGAUCGUAUCCAAGGAAGGGAACACCUUAGCUUACCUUUCAGAGGAAGCUAUAAGUGAAGCUCUUCAUCUUCCAGAGCAUAAAGAUAUGAUUUACAAGAGCCUAGAAGGAGCCAGAUCAAUGUAUGAAGAUGAUCCUGACACUUGCUUGAAUCUCAUCAAUAAGAAUUGGUUGCUCAAAAGUCGGCCUCACCUGAACAAGAUUCCCAACACACCGCAUAGGAUCGACUUCCAGGAGGAGUACAGAGAUUUGAUAACUUUUCUCAAUCGAGUUAUAGGGGCUCCUCAAGCCUUCUACUUCGAAAAGUGGAUGUUCUUCUUCAUCCAAGUGAUAGUCCAAGGAAAAGGAACGCUUCAUUGGGCCAGAAUUAUUAGCAAUAGUCUGGAUGUGCAGUUGAGAAGGCUAAGACCUACCAAAUCAUUCCAUAUGAGCUCAUAUGUUAUAUAUGCCUUGAUCAGGAGUUUCGAGUAUGCAGGGCUACCUCAUAGAGGAGUGAUCGGAAGAGGACUCGGAGAGGUGAGAGUUUGUGACUCUUAUGUUCAUCUGCAUCAUCCGCCUAGAAGUGACUACAAGUUAGUUAAUGAUACCUUCACGAUGAACAUCACUAGGAUAUUGCAAGGCGGGAUUCAUAAUCGAGUAUCUCUGGAUGCACAAGAACUUGUGAAGAAGUAUGGUGCGUGGUUCAUCCAGUUUCAAAAGUUUACAUAUAUCAGAGUUCAUGGGUGUCCUUCACCUCCAUACAUGUUGCCGAGGUAUCCGACAGACAUGAUAGUGCUACUUGAGGUAACUAGACAGUUGGCAGCUUAUGCGAAGGCAUCCAGACACAAGCAUGGAAAUGGAGUUCCCGUGCCCAUCAUAUUGGGGAAUUUAGUUGAGGUAUGUCCUAACACUCAAGCCUCGGAAGAUGCAGAGAAAGAAUUAUCUUUAUAUUCAUUCACAUCCUUUGCCUUGCGGGAGAAUUUUGAUCCUCAUGGUUAUAUGGAGGAGACAGUUGGUAAGAAGUACAGACAUGAGUUUCAGGUAGAGGACUUUUGGAUGAAUCUCUCAAGUGAUUUAGAAGUUAAAAGAAAGAUGCAUUCCAGGCUACCUUUAGAUUUCAUCAGGAAAUGCAAAGUUCAUAGAGUAGCUGAUCAAGCCCAAGAUAAUGGCAGAUACCUCCAGUCGUCCUAUGACAAAGAAGAUAAAAGAGUGAAGAUAGAUUGGGAUGAGCCCGAGGUUUUAGACUUGAGAGCUUUGAUGGCCCCUAUUUUAUCAUGUACUUGCAGAUGGGUGGAUGUACAACAUUAGAAGUUGAGAGAGCAAAACGUGUCAAUGACUUUCACUUUGGAGGCAAGACCAGAAGAAGAAGAAGCAAGCGUGAGUGAGGACACUUCUCAUCCUAGAGGCGCAAAGAGGAAAGAAAGACCUGAGAAAAUAGAAUCUUCCAAGAAGAAGCAAGAGGCCAAUCGAGAUCGCACAUCAAGCACAUCUUCUCGACAUGAAAAGAAGCCAAGUCAAUCUGAAGGUCAAGAGAAGAUGGUACCUGAGGUUGAUGAAUCUAUGGAAUCCAUGGUGCAAAAUGAUAAGCCAGAGAAGGGACAGACACCUCAACAUUCAUCAAGUCAAUCUCCCCAAAUUUAUGAGCUACAGGAAGAUCAGAGAAAUGAUGAUGAAGUGACAUCUCCUCUCCGAGAAGAUGAACCACUGCCUACAGAAAUACAAGUUAGAGAAAUAAGAUCCACCAUCCAGGAUUGGUUAAAAGAGAGACUGACAAGGGUGAUUGUGGUUGAAGAGGAAGAAGAUGUAUUUGAUUUAGAAAGCCUUAUAGGAAAUUCUCAAUAGGUAAUGGAAAAGAAGAAGGCCACGAAGAUGUCCAAGGUAAUAAGGGAUGAAACAGGAUCCAGGAAAGUGCAAAUAGCUAUGCCAGUAGUGGACAAGUAUGAAGGUGAGAUCCUUGCAGAUGAGUAUGAAUUAGAAACAUUUGAGCUUGGUCCACUCACUACUGAACAAGCAAUGGAAGAAGCAACCGAUUCAUUCGAAGCACUUAAAGACAAACUUAAGGAAGAAAUGGAGAAGAAUAAGAAACUUGAGAGAGAGGUCGGUGCUUGGAGAGGCUAUUUUAGUCAUCUCAAUCAGCCCUUGAGACGUCAGGAUCUAGCAGUAUCUCCUUUCCAAGCACUUCCUCUUGAAUCAGUUGGCGAAGUGGAAGGGGUCAGAAGCUUGGUUCAGCUUAUGAGCUCUUGGAUUGAUAAAUCCCACAUGGUAGCUGUUGAAUUUGCAACAAGAAUGAUGAAGACAAUUCAUUGGGCUAUCCAGGUCCUUGAGAUUAUUCAUAAUCUAAUGAUAACUGUAGCCGCUUUUGCUCACACUAGAGAUGUUAUCAUUCCUGUCUUACAAGUAAUAAGACAAACACCAAGAUGGAUCCUGGCACACGAAAAGAUAAUGGAUGGAGGAACUCAUAACCUACUACAGUGGUUAGCUCUACUCCAGAUGAAAGAGGUUCUUUUUAAAGACAUCAACACCAAAUGCAGUCAAGUUGAAGGUAUCAUCCAUCCAAUUCAGGAUAAGGUGUUUGAAGUAUUGUGUACCAUUCUUGGUAGGCAGAUUGAGAUUGAGACAGAUGUAGACAUCCAAGAGUUGGAAGAAAGAGUCAAGGUCAUCUUUUGCAAAGAGGAGAAUGUCAUCACAGAUGAGCAACGAGACCUGAUGUUCACUACCAUGCUCUUGAUUGAGAAGAUCAAAGAACUUGAACCUGGAUGGGAAACAACUCUUCUCACUGCUUUUGAUCAGGUCAUUCACUUGGAGGAACGAAUGAAGAAUCUUCCUGAGAUUCCUAUUGCUGAGAUUGAAGGAAUUGUGUCCAAAUUCGUUGGAUAUGCUAAGAAAGAGCAUAGGAAAGGGAACAAGCUUCUAGAUGAAAAGUUGUUAUAGGAUGAUGUGGCAGCUCAAUUCCUAUUGGUCUAUGUUUCCUCGAUAUUUGUGCCAAUUAAAUAUUUGGCUAUGCAUUUAAUAAUGUUUAUCUAAAUGGGGAUCAUUUUUGUAACAAACCCUAAUUAGGGUUUAGGUGUCAGAAUCUCAGCCAUUGAUCUUCUUUCGAUCUGGGCCAUUCAUUGUAUUUGAGGAUGCUAUAUAUACCCUCACUCAUUUUCAUUUUAUUAUUAGAUAUUAGAAGAAGAUUAGAAAUUAGAGAUUAGAAAUUAGAAGAGCUUAGAGAGAAGAAAGUUAUUGUAUAGCAAGAUUGAGUAGUGAAGAGAGAAUUUUGAACAAUUGUUGUCCAUUUGGCUUUGAGAUCAAUAAAAUAUUGAAGUUAUGGUGUUUUAUUGUAAUACUUGUGGCUAUCUUCAUGGUUGUUUAUCUUCUUGAAUCAUUCUCAGUCGAAAUAGUAUUUAAGUUUGAAGGACGAAGUGUUGUGCUUGAUCUUUGGUGAGAUUCAUAUCCAAACCACUAGCUUCUUACUGAUUGUAAGUACGCCUUGUGUGGUCAACUGGAGACAUUGAGAUUGCUUAAACAUUCAAUCAUUGUUGAAAUAUUGAUAUGUAUCUUUAUGAUAGUAUCUAUAAUCUUCGAUGAUUUGAAAAUCACUAAUCACAUUAGAAGAUCGCAUCAAUUCAGUAGAGUUGUAAUUCCUUGGCAAUACUGAAAUUGGUAGAAUCUUACCAAGUCCAGCUUACAUUGAGUCAUUCUUGGGAUUAGAUUAGAAUUCAUCUCUUGAAACCCCUAUCUUUUGAUCUUUUUUGAGAAUAUGUUAGUAUUAGGAAAAUCCUGUUCUUGCAGUCAAACGACAACAACACGGACCAGCUUUCUUAGAAAGUGCGUAAGACCCCUUGAAGAAACAACAUUUACAAUGACCACUGGUGCUUAUCCACAUGUAGAGAUCCUACAACGAAGAACCUUGAAGUCACCCUAAUUGAUCCUUUUCGCGAUAUCUUCAGCAUUUAGAGGUUUUAUUCAAGAGAGGAUAAGGUACCUUUAGGUAUUAUAUUCUGUGUUUGAUAGUGUACAAAAUACACGUCAACACUACCUACAUAUCCUUUUGAGGGAAGUCAGAGGCUUCGUAGUUCGUCCUUAAAGUUCAAAGGAAGUUCAUUCUCUCCUCUCAUAUGAGAUCUUUGAUCUUUCUUUAAACCAGGUCUAUUUAUUAAAUUAGCCCCAGAAUAAUACAAGAAUAUCUAAUUGCCUUCAAGUAUUGUACAUACAUACACAAUUACUCAAUGUUUUUACCCUUUCAUAAUUCCCCAAUUCCUUACAAUGACUUAAGUGCACAUUGCAAGAUGACUGACCCAUAAAUAUCCCAUAUACAUAGUAACUAACUCUAGCUUACGUCACCUAUACAUAGUGACUAGCUUCAACAUUUGUCACACAUACUUAGUUACUAGGUCCAUUUGCGUUAUAUACAUAGUGAAUAACAUUUACACAAUGAGAGACUGACACAUCUACAAUGGCUAACUAUCACUUACCCAUAGUGCAUCCUAGUUAUAAGAAAUAUUGAUGCACUGUGCACUACACUGCAUAUCAUAAUCCUUUCCCUUUUAUUCUACACCAAUACACAAGUGGGAACAGGAUUCGAUGUAUCCAAUGCUACACUAAGUGUUCGUCCUCAUCCUAACAAGGUCAUGUAUACUAAUUUUGCAUCCACAUAUGCCGAAAACUAUACUAUAAGGUUGGUCCAAUAAUUACCUACAUAUUCUUCAUUUGAAAUUCUCUUCCCUGUAGUCCAUUGGACGACUAAGCAACAUAGACAUCCAUCACAUAAACCUCAUUAUUCAUCUUAAAAAAUUUACCUUAGUUCACAUAAACCUACAAGAAAACAAAACCAAUCAAAGUUCACCUAAUACGUUUAGUAUGGAGGUUCUUCUACCCAAGGGGUGAAUUUAUAUGUCUAGUAUUUCAAUAUCACAAGUAUUUGAAACCUUGUAGGACUUACAACAUAGGUGUAUCUUUUUCUAAGCUAUGAUUCCUACACAAACAUAUGUUGUCAUCCAACACAGCCAUAUUAGCCUUCCUUGGUUCCGAUGAUAGUUCCUGCAUCAAGUUUAUUGUACUUAAGAGAUCAAUAUUUAUUGUCUAGUCAUAAUAUCAAUAUGAUACAAGAAUAUUGCAAAAGCCUCGUUAAAACUUCAAUUGGUAUCCUUCUUCAAUAUUAUAUCAAGCAUCAUAAAAAUAUAGGACAUCAUCCUAUUAAAGCCACAUUAAUUUCUUCUUUAUCCCGAAAGACAUGUCCAAUGUUUACAAACUUUCAUCAAGCAUGAUUAAUGUUUGUGUCACACUCAAGGUAAUUGGAACACUAUGCUUCAUGUAUUCUCAUAUAAGAUAUUCACUCCCUAAUAUUAGGACUAAUAUUAAUUCUUAAUGUUCUAGUUUGAUUUUUUUGAUUGUGUAACCCAUUAUUCCUAUAAUAGCUUGGUUCUUUGACUAGCUGAUUUUGCACAACACUUAUAUUUAAAUGCUAGUAACUAUAGAUACCAACAUGGUAGGAUACCCACCAUAUCAUAAUUUUUUUUUUGAUAUAAUUACCAAAUGUAGAGAGCUGAGGUUUAAAACACAACCAUUAAUCUUAUACUUUAAUUUAUUAAACAGAACUUCAGAUCAUAUACUAUUGUCAUGGUAUUUAAAACUAUCGUGUUCAAGAUAAGUAUGUCAUGUAUACCGUAGUAUGUUAUCCAACUAUAUAGAAGAAUACAUGAAGAAUGAUAAACUUUCGUUUUAGUCUAAUUAUUGCUAAUGCCAUGCUCAAGAUAGAUGUAGACACUAUAUUUGUUAUGUCUUAAUAUAUAGAUAUACCCAUGAUAAUAAUAAUAUCCUAUACUUAUGAUUUUAAUUACUAAUAGUGCAAAUCAAUAAUCAUCAUAUCUCAUGAUUAGGUUCUACUAGAUAAGGUUUAUGAACAAUAGUUGUAGUAUUUAAUAAUCAACACUACGUUUAAUUUUUCAUGCAUCAUAGUGUUACUUAUUAAAGGACACAUUGAUAUCGACCUUACUAUUAGGAUUAAAGUGCCAUCUACCUUGUAAAUCCUAUGACAUUGUUCGAACAUCCUUGGAAAGUGUCCUAAGGCACUUAGGAUGUAUUGGGAAAAUGAUUUGUUAUAUUUUUUUCUCACCAUUGUUUGUAAUACAUUCACAAGGGGUGAUGGGUUACACUAGUAGCAAUAAUAGUGGGUUUUGAACACAAAUAUUUAAUAUUGUUUUCCACACUUAUGGAUGUCUAGAAUAAUAUAUUUAAUGAUUUAAGAAAGUGGUAAAAGAGUGACCUACGGGCUUCUCCUAGUGGGAGUAUGGUAUAGUUUUCCAUGUUGUAUUUAAGGUAUUGGAAGCUAAACCGAUGUCUUUUCAAUUUUUUUAGAGACCUUUCAAGGGUUGUUGUCAUGAGUAAUGAAUAGUAUUGUUUGGGAACCUUUAUUGGUGGUUUUGGUGCUCUUUCCAUUUUAUAAAUUCAGCCUUUGGGUGUAGAUUGCAUGUCCAAGAGAAUGGGGAACAAUUGAAUGUAGUUUUUUUUGUAGGAAUGAUGGGUGGGAGGCAUAAGGAGGUUGUUCACAUGUACAUAGGUGCUUCUAUGGUAUAGGAAAAGAGAAGAAUAGAAGUGAUUGUAUCAUAAGCACUUUUAUUGAUGUUAAUACAAGCUUGUCCUCUCUUCUUGGUGGAUUUUUUUCUUGCAAGGAUUUCUCCACCUAAAUCUUGUGUUAUAUGUGGACGUUAUUGUUGGUGUAAUUAUUUUAUUUUAUUUAUCUCCUAGGAUAUAAUUAUACUUUACUUAAUCUUACUUAGGAAAUUGCAUACGAGUAGUUGGAGAAUUUUCACUUUCGGUGGACUUAUCCUUUCCUAUGAUGCAUAGUUAUUUGUGUCUAGUGGUUGAGUUCUAACUGACUCCUUCCUACCCUUCCUUUCAUUGAGCCACAUGUCAUUAGUGGUUGAGUUUUAACUAACUGCUACCUAACUUGGCAUUUCAUUAAGCCACAUGUCAUUUUUGUGUGCACUCAUUUCAUUUUGCCUUGCUUAUAUAAGUAGGCUUAUGUACAAUGUUUAUUCAUCCAUCUAUUUACAUCUUGAUGCGAAUAUAGUUUGUUCUUGUCUCUAUUCUUCUCUCUUGUUAUUUUUCUACUUAAUCAGCCUCUAUAUCUUGUAUUGCUAUAGUCAAUUAUUACAUGGUUUCAGAGCCUAUAGGAUGCUAUUGAUAGUCAUCUUUGGAGAGAUUUUGGUGCAUUUGAAUAUCGAUAUAUUAAUAGAUUUGGCAUGCAGUGCAUUUAAGGAGCAUCCUACACAAAAUAUGAGCCUAACAUCGCGUCCAAGAGGUUGUUUUCAUGAAUUUUGAGUAUAAAUUAGCCUAUAUUGGGUGAUAGUUGAUCCUAUGGCAUCAAGAAUUUUUUUCCUUUAUUGGUCAUAUGAACGUCAUAAUUACAGGUAGUUGACUGUCAUGUUAUUAGAGUGCCACAUCAUCAGACUACCACAUCAUAAAAAUUCCUUGUCAUCAAACUGCCACGUCAUCAGGUUGACUACCAUGUCAUCAAACUACUGGAUCAUCAAGUUGGCUGCCGCAUCAUCAUUUUGCACAAUUAGCAUGGUACGUGCUAUAAGUUUGUUCAAUUGGAAAACAAUGUGGUAAAAUAUAUUUGGACCUCAACUCCUUUAUGGUGCUACUUAUUUGUUAUACAAUAUAAUAGUACGCUAUAGUAUAUAAACAACAGGAGUAUACCGUACACAAUGCAUGUUAGAUAAUUGGUUUCGCUCCCCCCUUCAUGGUUGGUAGGUUCUAUUUUAAAGCUGAUUUUCAAACACUCAUAUAUUGAGCAUAUGAUCUCCUUUUUGAAUGCAGUUUUUUUUAUUUGGGGUAGAUUUUUGUGUUCUUCAUAGUGGUGUAGGUGGUUUUUCAUUUUGGUGUACAAAUUUCUCAGAAAAUGCAUGUUUUCACAGCUAUAUCUGAGCAAUCCCCCUUUUUUUGUUCAAGCUAAUAUAAACUCUUUUUUAGGUGCCAUUUUUUUUAAAGUGCAUUAUUUUUCAACUACUUUUCUGUGGUGCUAUAAUUUUUUCAUCAUUGAGAGUAGAAAUAUCACUUUCAGAACUUGGUCUUUCUUGGCCUAUUCUGACAUAUGUCAUGCUUAGAUCUCAAUAAGGUCUUUUGCAUCAGUAAUAUAUGUUUUUAUAGCCUAUUUGUGGUAGUUAUAAUCAUUGAAAUCAAAAGCCCACUUUUCAUUCGACCAUUUUACACGCACUAAGUAUAAAGUGCCCAAUAAACCUUUUAGGGGGUGUUCUUUGAUUGAGUGAAUUUGGGGGGUGUCUUGUGUGAUUGUGCUUCUAUCUAUCUCUUAUUCUCCUUCAUUUCCAGUUAUGGGUUCUCCUAAGUUUCCACUUCAGAUUCCACAUGACUAUACUUCUUGGAAAAUUAAAGCUUGGAGUAAGUUAAUAGAAAAAGGAGUAACUAUUAUAUUGAUGGAACUAUUGAAGAACCACCGAGUACGAAAGCUGAUCCAAAUGCUCAAUUGGAAUGGCUUAGUAAAAAUAAUUCCAAUCAUUACAUCACUUAAUAUUCUACAACAUCUAUCCCUAAAAUAUUUGCAUUAAUAUAUUUUUAAUAUCAAAAGAAAAAAUAGAAUCCUCAUGGCUAGAUUAUAGCUUCCAUGAAGAUACUGACUCCUAAACACAAUCUUAUUGGCUUCACCACUUAUCCACAAUCAUAAAAUCUCAGAAGCUCCUAUAGAUAACAACUAUCCUACUUCCUCACAAAACUUGAGCAAUCCUCAUUCUCUCACAAAUGAAGAAUGAAAUACGUCAAGUGAAUAAUGAACGAAUGAUAAAAUGAGAAAAUAUGCAAAAUAAAAGGUGCUCCAACAAGAAAGCUCCUCUCUUUAUACAUGAAUUUGAGAGAUUUAAUGCAAUAAUUAAGUCCUCAAAUUCACCACCACUCUUUCUUCCAAUGCCACCAUUAAUACUAUGUGGCUCCCAAUCAACUACAAAGUUGGCACAUCUAAGUCCAACUUAAUUCUACUAUGAAUUACUCAUAAUUUACUAAGUCAAAUUAUGCUUACCCAUAAUUUACUAUUACUUAAGCAAGUUGAUUACUAACUCUUACUAACACAUGUUUAUUGACUAAAUCCACCUUUAUAUUAGGUGUAACUCUAACUUUAUUAAUAAUGUGUACUUCCUUAUGAAUAAGGGUGCUUUCCCUAUUAACUAGGUCAAUGCCAAGUAGACCACUUCACGUUCCCAUCCUCCCUUUUAAAUGGGGUUGAUGGACACUUAGUGCUUACUAUAUAAAGCGCUCACCUUAUGCGUUUUUCCUACAUACGUGUAAAAGGUGUCAGCUUUAUUCACCAUCCCCCCCCUCCUUUGGAGUAGGGUAUGCCACCUUUCAUGGUGUGUGCCUCCCUCCCCAACCUUCCUUCCUCCUACCACUACAUGGUAACUAUCGUGGCAACAUAAAUCACUAUGGUUUUUGACCGAUCCACAGGUGGUAUACAUGGAGUUAAUAAAAUGCAGUCUGAUUCAUAUAUAUAUAUGUAGCAUCAUAAAAUUGCGACCCUGGAAUUUUUGACUGCAUUUGGGUCUUUGCAUUGGCGGACGAAUCCCUAAAUCUGACUAGAGACCCGAGACAUGCUUAUACCAUCAAAAACUUGCAUUUUCUUGCACCUCGCACUGCCUAUCCCCACUGCCUGUCCUAAAUUAGGGCUGGACCCCCUAGGAUAGGGGCAUGGUGCCUUUGUCCCUGCCCUAUUUUGGGCCCCUGCUUAGUCCUAUCUUGCAUUGGGCUUGUCAAUUGCGAGUGGGAAAAUGUUUUCCUAUGUCGGCCUAAGACAAAAAAUCAAUUAAAAACCCUAAUUGGUAAGUAUAUAAGAAGUGUUUUCCCCUCCUAUUAGCACAUACAUAUAGGUACAAUAAGUUCGAUAAGUGAAAGCAAGUUGAAUCAAGUGCAAUCAAGCGAAAUCAAGUGCAAGCAUUCAAGCAUCCAUUCAAGAGUUGAGCAUCUCAAGUCUCCUUUCAAGGUUAGGUGUUGCAUUCAAGUCAAGGAUUCAAUCAUUGAAGAGGAGAUCCCCACCCACAUUCAAGAUAUUCAAUUCCACAUAUCCUUUCAAACAACUCUAUCUACAUUUCAAUUGCAUCCUCUCUCGAGGGUAAUUCUAUUUUAGACAUUUUCUUUCACUUACUAGCAAGUAUUUUUCAUUAUUUGGUUAAUUCCAAAAUGGGGUUUGACCUAAAGGCAAACCCCCAAUCCCAACAAUAUUUCCUCUCUUUUCUGUGUGUAGGUUGCAGGUGCGCAGUUGUAAUUGCAGAUUUAGGCUUCAUUUUCAGAGACGGAAAAACCCUUUUUCGGCGCGUGGAUUCUUUGGAGGACCAAGUACACUUUCAACUCGGUCCCAAUAACUUUCACUCAAAUUUGCAAGGGAGCUUCAUCUCGACAUUUUACUGCUAAUUCCAGGCAAAAUCACUUACGCUGGAAAACGGUAACCUGUUUAAAAUGGUUGAGGAGGGAAGGUGCAGGGCCUGCCACCUUAACAUUGACAUUAUGGAAGGAGUGGACAAUAAUUGGGAAACGGAUGCUGC